GAUUGGUAACAGACAAAGCCCAUAAAAAGCCUAAUGUUGUAUCUCAUGUUUCUAGAAAGGUCAUGGCUUAAAAUCUUCAGAGGUUUGGGAUGUAGAAGUUUCCAUGGCAGUUCCUAUAGGGUAUGGGGUUGAUAGUGUGGAAAUGGAGCUGAGUUUGGUUUCUCUGACUACUGGGAACCCCUCGUGUGCUCCCUGCUUGGUUACACUGCAGCAAACACACACAGUCCAAGGGGAGGGCCUCACUGUUCCCCGGGAUGCCUGUGCUAUUCCAGCUGAUCCAGGGUAAGAAUUCUAUUUCUUGCCAACUUUAGCUUUCACGACUUGUCUUGAAACCCUUGAACAAUCUGUAUACAGGUAAGUGGUUCAUGGCAUUUUUGCUUAGGCUGAGUGGACCAACCUAGGUGGUUUUUACUUGUGUUAACUUCCGAGCCUCUACAGAGUUGUAUGCAGACAGCUUUUAUUUCUAUGCAUUAAAACUGUUCAUUUA
Long non-coding RNA from Ochotona curzoniae (black-lipped pika), 487 nucleotides. RefSeq lists it as uncharacterized. Lineage: Eukaryota; Metazoa; Chordata; Mammalia; Lagomorpha; Ochotonidae. The record is from RefSeq and is a predicted model, not a curated record. The transcript is spliced from 2 exons.